CAAGUCUGGUGCCAGCAGCCGCGGUAAUUCCAGCUCCAAUAGCGUAUAUUAAAGUUGUUGCAGUUAAAAAGCUCGUAGUUAAUCUUCUGUUAAUUUUUAUAUAUAAUAUCACGAUAUUUAUAUAAUAUUAACAUAAUUCAUAUUACUUUUUAGUAUAUGAAACUUUACUUUGAGAAAAUUAGAGUGCUUAAAGCAGGCUAUUGCCUUGAAUACUCCAGCAUGGAAUAAUAUUAAGGAUUUUUAUUCUUCUUAUUGGUUCUAGAAUAAAAAUGAUGAUUAAUAGGGACAGUUGGGGGCAUUUGUAUUUAACAGUCAGAGGUGAAAUUCUUAGAUUUGUUAAAGACAAACUACUGCGAAAGCAUUUGCCAAGGAUGUUUUCAUUAAUCAAGAACGAAAGUUAGGGGAUCGAAGACGAUCAGAUACCGUCGUAGUCUUAACCAUAAACUAUGCCAACUAGAGAUUGGAGGUUGUUCCUUA
Molecule: ribosomal RNA, 477 nt
Filed under: Cryptosporidium bovis
Lineage: Eukaryota; Apicomplexa; Conoidasida; Eucoccidiorida; Cryptosporidiidae
Description: SSU rRNA
Rfam family: Eukaryotic small subunit ribosomal RNA
Source: RNAcentral